GCCAGGUGUGGUGGCGUGUGCCUGUAGUCCCAGCUACUCAGGAGGCUGAGGCAGGAGAAUCACUUGAACCUGGGAAGCGGAGGUUGCAGUGAGCCGAGAUCAUGCCACUGCACUCCAGCCCGGGUGACAGAGUGAGACUCUGUCUCAA
Molecule: unclassified non-coding RNA, 148 nt
Organism: Macaca fascicularis (crab-eating macaque)
Lineage: Eukaryota; Metazoa; Chordata; Mammalia; Primates; Cercopithecidae
Rfam family: Metazoan signal recognition particle RNA
About the family: The signal recognition particle (SRP) is a universally conserved ribonucleoprotein. It is involved in the co-translational targeting of proteins to membranes.
Source: Ensembl